UUAGGAUACUCCUGAGCAGUUUAUCCGUAGUAGUUACAGGUGGUUUAAUGCCAGGGCCAGUCCCUGGCCACGCCAGCUUUGCUAACGGAGCCCCUGGGGGGUUGUUUCUGGUUUGCAGGACUGCGGGUUUUCAAGCAUUGCACUGCAAAUUCCAGCACGACGUGCGUGCCUUGCGUAGAGGGUACAUAUACAGAUCAUCCCAAUGGUUUAGAACACUGCCGGAAAUGUAAACUCUGUGAUAAAGGCACAAAGACCACUGACAAUGUGUGUGAAGCCUGUCCUCCCGGAACCUCCUCAACAGCCAACAUGUCUUACAGUUGUACCCCAUGGCCCACAUGUGAGGAGAACUGCUGGGUACAAGGAGAGGACAGGAAUCCGUCCUCACAUUCCUCUGCUGCAGUAGUUGGUUACGUUGGAGGCGUGCUGUUAGUUGUUGCAGCUGGCCUGUGCCUUGCGUUUAUCUGGCGCAGGAGGAAGAGUUACACACCACCGGUGCAGGAGUCUGGGGUGAGUAUCUCUUUGGUUUUUUCAUAGUACGUUGAAAUCUGAAGUAGGUUUUUUGUUUGGUGUCUGUAUGUGCUGUGUGCUCGAUGGGCCCAGUGCGGACUGGUGCAGCUUGGGGAUCCUGGGAGUGUCUGGGAGUUCCAGAAUCCCCAAGACUAUGCAGUAUAAACUCAUUUUUUGUGAUUCUUGUUGAGAGGCUUGGGAUCUACUCCUAAUGCCGUUGUUACCACCUGCCCUUGUCUAGGAGUUCAUGUUUAAGGGGCUUUAGGAGAUGGACUCCUACUAAAAGCCACAUCUGUCUUAGUAACUGUGUUUUUCUCUCCAUCCUACAGUAUUACGUAUCCCCUAAAGUUCCUGUUACUGGUACCUGUGCAGCCAGUGUCGUGUUUUAUAGGAAAAACAUGGCAUGAACUGUAUCAUUUGCACUUUUGAUUUGAGAGGGGCCCUAGAGUGACUCUCGCUCUUAAGGAAGAAGCAAAAGUCGAGCUGUUAGUAGUGAAAAUAGCAGGCAUUUGCUAAUAAAGGCUGACUUUUCAUACUCUGUGUUUUCCUU
This 1057-nucleotide long non-coding RNA is filed under the name Athene cunicularia (burrowing owl). RNAcentral's name for it is "lncRNA (ENSACUG00000002569.1)". Lineage: Eukaryota; Metazoa; Chordata; Aves; Strigiformes; Strigidae. The record is from RNAcentral.